RNAcentral lists this ribosomal RNA (280 nucleotides) under uncultured Staphylococcus sp. RNAcentral describes it as "partial 16S ribosomal RNA". It matches the Rfam family "Bacterial small subunit ribosomal RNA", at positions 82 to 355 of the family's 1533-position model. Lineage: Bacteria; Bacillati; Bacillota; Bacilli; Caryophanales; Staphylococcaceae. The record is from RNAcentral.
CUCCUUGACGUUAGCGGCGGACGGGUGAGUAACACGUGGGUAACCUACCUAUAAGACUGGGAUAACUUCGGGAAACCGGAGCUAAUACCGGAUAAUAUUUCGAACCGCAUGGUUCGAUAGUGAAAGGUGGUUUUGCUAUCACUUAUAGAUGGACCCGCGCCGUAUUAGCUAGUUGGUAAGGUAACGGCUUACCAAGGCGACUAUACGUAGCCGACCUAAGAGGGUGAUCGGCCACACUGGAACUGAGACACGGUCCAGACUCCUACGGGAGGCAGCAGCU